CAGUCCGUUUUCUGGAAUGUGGUGGUCUUGCAGGUUUGUAGGUGAUUCAUGUUCUUGUGACCAUCCAAUCUUCUUCAGGUGAUUCAUGUCCUUGUGACCAUCCAAUCUUCUCCAGCAAGGAGACUUAGCACUCCCUCCCUCUAGAUAGCAUUUGAAUGUCUCUCAUCUUUUUCUCAUUCUCUUUUAAAUAGCCCCUUUGUUAGAGAAAGAAGGGCAGGCGUCUCCCCGUCUCCCCUUUGUUAGAGGAAGAGGGGCAGGCGUCUCCUCAAAACUGUAGUUGUCUCCUCAGAGCUGUGUGCCUAUGUGACCAGACACCGCACCCAUGACUAGUCACCAUACCCACAUUCCUCGAGCAGACACAUACAAUCACAAUCGAUGUCCAUUGUCCCCAUUUCACACUAUUUCUCCAUAUCAAUCCCCCCUUUUCUAUUAAAUUAAGUAAAUUCUUUUACUUAAGCAGUCUUCCCGAAUGAUAUAAAGCAUCAUACAUAAGUGUUACCCUUUUAAACAUUCUCCAAACCCACAAAUAUAACAUAAUGGUUAAUAUUAAGGAAAUUCCUAAACUGAUCAAUAAGAUCACAAUGGGGUGUACCAUAGUGUUAAGAAUUCCUGUUGCAGAAGGUGACCAGCCAAAGAGAGUAUUCCACCAAUUAUGGUUUCCAUCCUGUUCUACCUUUUUAAAACUUUCUUGAUCCCCUCUACAUCAUGAUGGGUUCACUUACUUGCCACCCACAUUGUUCCCAUUUUUCCGAGUAAAUUUGAGUUUCAGUUCUUUUUUUAUCUGGGGUUACUUUCCACGAAGUUGCAGGGGCUUUCUUAAUCCGGGUAUGGUGAAUCCAAGAAUUCUGUCCCUCAACCUUGACUGCAGUGUAGGUGGUGAGUAGGACUUGGAAAGGUCCGGUCCACUGUGGUUCCAGGGUUUUAUCUGCAAAACACUUAAC
Falco peregrinus (peregrine falcon) is the source of this 941-nucleotide long non-coding RNA. RefSeq lists it as uncharacterized. The transcript is spliced from 2 exons. NCBI's taxonomy places the organism in Eukaryota, Metazoa, Chordata, Aves, Falconiformes, Falconidae. The record is from RefSeq and is a predicted model, not a curated record.